This is a long non-coding RNA of Oncorhynchus keta (chum salmon), 433 nucleotides long. RefSeq lists it as uncharacterized. The record is from RefSeq and is a predicted model, not a curated record. NCBI's taxonomy places the organism in Eukaryota, Metazoa, Chordata, Actinopteri, Salmoniformes, Salmonidae. The transcript is spliced from 3 exons.
UUCAGUGAUAGGUUUAGGCUACUGUCAUUCAUAUUCACCCAGUUUAGUGAUAGGUUUAGGCUACUGUCAUUCAUAUUCACCCAGUUCAGUGAUAGGUUUAGGCUACUGUCAUUCAUAUUCCAUUCACCCAGUUCAGUGAUAGGUUUAGGUUACUGUCAUUCAUAUUCACCCAGUUCAGUGAUAGGUUUAGGCUACUGUCAUUCAUAUUCACCCAGUUCAGUGAUAGGUUUAGGCUACUGUCAUUCAUAUUCACCCAGUUCAGUGAUAGGUUUAGGCUACUGUCAUUCAUAUUCACCCAGUUCAGUGAUAGGUUUAGGUUACUGUCAUUCAUAUUCACCCAGUUCAGUGAUAGGUUUAGGCUACUGUCAUUCAUAUUCACCCAGUUCAGUGAUAGGUUUAGGUUACUGUCAUUCAUAUUCCAUUCACCCAGUUC